This 320-nucleotide unclassified non-coding RNA is filed under the name Hevea brasiliensis (rubber tree). The record is from RNAcentral. Lineage: Eukaryota; Viridiplantae; Streptophyta; Magnoliopsida; Malpighiales; Euphorbiaceae.
GCCAAACUACUAAUUCAAGAAGAUGAUAUUGCCAACAAAUUUGGAUGAUGCCUACGACUAACGGAAGUACAGGCAAAUAAAUGAAGCGCACAAUGAAAAAGUUCUGCUAUAUGAUUAAGUGAUCGACUUCAAUGGGAAUCCUCGGAGCGCAACGCACCCAAGGGUGUGGGCUAGUGGUUAAUGAAGCAGGUGCAAACCUUGGAGAUUAGAGUUCAAAUACCAUCCACCUUAGCUUUGGUAGGCAAGAUUACCUAGUACAUGUGCAAGUGGAAAGUAACACUGCAUCAGGUACAUAGUGGAAUACUUGAGGUAUGCUCAAG